UGUAAAAUGGCUUAGUAAGCAUUAGACUAUAAAUCUAAAGACACAAGUCAAGACUUCUUUUUACCA
Molecule: transfer RNA, 66 nt
Filed under: Macaca nemestrina (pig-tailed macaque)
Lineage: Eukaryota; Metazoa; Chordata; Mammalia; Primates; Cercopithecidae
Also listed under: 1 other name
Rfam family: tRNA
About the family: Transfer RNA (tRNA) molecules are approximately 80 nucleotides in length. Their secondary structure includes four short double-helical elements and three loops (D, anti-codon, and T loops).
Source: Rfam by way of RNAcentral